UUUUUAUUUCUAAUAUUUUUUAUAUUUAUUUCCUUUUGAUUGAUUCAUGUGCAGUGUAAUGUUCUUGUAGGAUGACAAGUUGUCGCAUCUCGAGCAUGUUUCGUAGGAGAGUGGAAUGAAGUCCAUUCUACUAUUGGGAUAGUAGCAGAUGUGCCAUUGUUCUAUUGUGCAAUUCUGUCCGUUCUUGCUAUAUUCAUGUGUAAGGAAAUGUAUUCAUGAGAUGAGUUAUUGUAUUAUGUAAACCUGAGAGAUGUAUUAUGUGA
Molecule: long non-coding RNA, 263 nt
Filed under: Hordeum vulgare
Lineage: Eukaryota; Viridiplantae; Streptophyta; Magnoliopsida; Poales; Poaceae
Description: long non-coding RNA (HVUL_LNC009566)
Source: RNAcentral